AUGAACCCGGCGGGAGAGUCCGGGUGGUCUUGUUACGUUCUGAAGAUCUCCCGGCGCCGAAGGAGCAACGGCCCCGGAACCUCUCAGGCAAAAGGACCGCCGGGGGAUC
RNAcentral lists this non-coding RNA (109 nucleotides) under bacterium YEK0313. Its description in RNAcentral is "Glycine riboswitch aptamer". It matches the Rfam family "Glycine riboswitch aptamer". From Rfam's summary of the family: This family represents the bacterial glycine riboswitch. Glycine riboswitches usually consist of two metabolite-binding aptamers domains with similar structures in tandem. The record is from Rfam by way of RNAcentral.